This is a long non-coding RNA of Cucurbita moschata (crookneck pumpkin), 519 nucleotides long. RefSeq lists it as uncharacterized. The transcript has 2 exons. The record is from RefSeq and is a predicted model, not a curated record. NCBI's taxonomy places the organism in Eukaryota, Viridiplantae, Streptophyta, Magnoliopsida, Cucurbitales, Cucurbitaceae.
CAAGCAAGUAAGUGCAGAUUUUCUUCUGAAUGAAUUUUGUUCAUUAUAAAAGUUUUGCCAAGCGAAUAGCCGUUCUUAAGGUUCUAGACAAUGCAAAUCUAUUUUCUAAGAACACAUUUUUAUUCUUUGGAUGGUAUGCCAGAAUUGGUUUGCAUUGACUCGAAAGUUGGGACGAUGGUAGGGAAAUAAGAUCAAAGCAUGAGUCCAACAUUUCUGUGGUGCAAUCUAUUUAUAAGGAAAAGAGAUGGCUUUGGUCACAGGAGAAGGAUGCUACAUAGAGCCUGGACAUUACAAGUAAGAUUAUUCACUCUAUUUUGAUCUUAUUUCAUGACUUUCACUCUGAAUUAAGCAGACUUAGAAAACAUUCAAUACAUUCAUGCAUGAGUUACCACUUUAUUUGGUCGUUAGAACUUUUAAGAAGCUAAUAAUUUAGUCCAUCAACUUCGAUCUAUAACCAUUUAGUUCACGUAUUUUAAAUUUGUAAUAAUUUAAUUACUAUACAUCGAAAUUAAAUUCUGA